This 1170-nucleotide ribosomal RNA is filed under the name uncultured Haplosporidia. RNAcentral describes it as "bacterial SSU rRNA". It matches the Rfam family "Eukaryotic small subunit ribosomal RNA", at positions 20 to 1162 of the family's 1831-position model. Lineage: Eukaryota; Endomyxa; Ascetosporea; Haplosporida. The record is from RNAcentral.
GUAGUCAUAUGCUUGUCUCAAAGAUUAAGCCAUGCAUGUCUAAGUAUAAACACGUUUGUACUGUAAAACUGCGGACGGCUCAUUACAACAGUUAUAAUUUACUUGACAUUGAAAUCUCUACGGAUAACCGUGGUAACUCCAGGGCUAAUACGUAAUAAGAUCUCUCUCACGAGGGUGUGCAUAUUAGUAUAAAACCAACAUCUGGUUGAAAUAUAAUAUUUGUCGGAUCGCGUUGGCUUCGACCAGCGACAUGUCAUUCAAGUUUCUGCCUUAUCAGCUUGACGGUAGGGUAUUGGCCUACCGUGGCAUUAAUGGGUACGAGGAAUUCGGGUUCGGUUUCGGAGAGGGAGCCUGAGAAACGGCUCCCACUCUUACGUGAGGCAGCAGGUGCGCAAAUUACUCACUCUUGACCCAAGGAAGUAGUGACAAGAUAUACCGACCGUCAGCCAUUGGUUGGCAUUCGGAAUGAGAGUAACCUAAAAUCAUUAUCGAUCAUCAAGCGGAGGGAAAGUCUGGUGCCAGCAGCCGCGGUAAUACCAGCUCCGCUAGCGUAUACUAAAACUGUUGCUGUUAAAAAGCUCGUAGUUGGAUAUCAGGAGGGGCGGCAUGACCCGAUAGUGAUGCAGUCUUGUUUUGUUAACAUGCUUGCAAAAACUUUUGUGUGUCAAUACGGCUCAGGCCGACGCCGCCCCGACUUACUUCAGGACUGUAGGUCUGUUCAUUCAUUUGAAUCGGGCCUGCGUGUCCUGAUCUUUUACUUUGACAAAAUUAAAGUGUUCAAAGCAGGCUGUCGCCUGAAUGCAAUAGCAUGGAAUAAUAAAACAAGAUUUUGGCAUUAUUCGCGCGAGCGAAUAAGUUUUUGUUGGUUUGGGCCAAAGUAAUGAUUUUUAGGAACAAUUGGGGGCGCUGGUACCGCCGGGCCAGAGGUAAAAUUCUUUAAUUCUGGUGUGACCAACUUAUGCGAAAGCUUCCGCCAAGUGUGUUUUCUAUAAUCAAGAACUAAAGUUGGGUGAUCAAAAACGAUCAGAUACCGUUGUAGUCCCAACCAUAAACGAUGUCGACUAGGGAUUGGGCAAGUUUAACUUCCUCAGCACCUUGUGAGAAAUCAAAGUUUUUGGACUCAGGGGGGAGUACGUUCGCAAGAAUCAAACUUAAAGGAAUUGACGGAAG